AUGCUGGGCAAUGAUGUGUGCUGGAUGAACAGCCUUAGAUGCCUCAAGAGAUUGUUCUGGGGUGGGGAAGAAACCCAGCCUGUGUUUUAUUUUCAGUUUCUUUCUGCGCAUCUCCUGGGAAUUGAGGAGGAACAUUCGCAGAGUCUCCUAACAAUCGGUUCCUCUUCUUCCAUGUUUAUGGAGCCCUGCUCUCAUUCUGAUGCGGCCUCCCGCCCUGGUGCUGUGUUACCUCUCAGCCCUGCCGUCUACUCGGGAAUUCCUUUGCAUGGAGUGCCAGGGGCCCCGCUACUCUGCAGGAUGAGGAGGUCCAGGAGGUGAGUGUGGGUCACAGCCAGGAAAGGAAGCCUGUGGGGAGGGCCCGGACAUACACAAAGCUACAAGUCAUAGGGUGGGGCACCAGAUGGGUCAAGGCCAGAUUUGGAAUCAGUUGAAGUACAGGAUGUGCUAAAAGCCAGGCUCAGUGGUGUAGACUGGAAGCCAGGAAUCACACCAGGCCCCCUAGGAACACAGGUUCAUUUUUACUGGAACCAGGUGGGUGGGGAGGCGGGCAGAAUGGCCAGGCUGAGAGAGACAUGCAAGACCAGCAACCCCAUGGCAGUUUCAGUCAGAAGCCUCCUUCAAGAGCAGGUUCCCCCAGUUUCCUUGCACUCCCAGAGGUGAAGGUGCUAUUGCUCCUGGUGGGAGCCCCUUUUCUCAGUAUCCCGUCCAAACAUCCUGUGCCUUUCGUCCCAUCUCAAUCCCACAGAGCGAGUCCCAGGAGCAGCACUGGCUUUGCAGACCAAUGGACCUCAACUGAAGCCAAAUGUUGGCAGGCAAGUUGGUGAGCUUCCCUUGGCCUCUGCUUCCUCAGGGGCAGUGACACCUCUCUUGAGAGAAGUUGUGAAAAAGAAAUGAGGAGUUCCUUUCGUGGCUCAAUGGUUAACAAACCUGACUAGUAUCCAUGAGGACUCGGGUUCAAUCCCUGACUCUGCUCGGUGGGUUAAGGAUCUGGCGUUGCCAUGAGCUGUGAUGUAGGUUGCAGACUCAGCUCAGAUCCCACAUUGCUAUGGCUGUGGCAUAGGCUGGGGGCUGCAGCUCCAAUUGGACCCCUAGCCUGGGAACCUCCAUAUGCCUCGGGAGCAGCCCUAAAAAGACAAAAGACGAAAAAAGAGAGAGAGAGGGAGGGAGGAAGGAAGGAAAGCAGGACAGAGGAAAGUAUUCAUGGCAUGUGCCUGAUGUGUCAGGGGCUCAAUAAGGAGAUCUCCAUCUAACGAAUAUUUAUUAAGCACCGACUGUAAGCCGAGCAUUUUACCAGCUGCUAGGAAAUACUGUGGUGAGC
This 1318-nucleotide long non-coding RNA is filed under the name Sus scrofa (pig). RNAcentral's name for it is "lncRNA (ENSSSCG00015068898.1)". Lineage: Eukaryota; Metazoa; Chordata; Mammalia; Artiodactyla; Suidae. The record is from RNAcentral.